CUAGCGGAGGACAGAACUAACAAGGAUUUCCUUAGUAACGGCGAGCGAACCGGAAAUUGCCCAGCUUGAAAAUCGGGGCGCUUUGCGCCUUGAAUUGUAGUCUGGAGAAGGGACCUCAGCAACGGACCGUGCUUCAGUCCUUUGGAAAAGGACGCCAGAGAGGGUGAGAGCCCCGUCUAGCACGGACCCUGUUGCAACACGAGGCUCUGUCUACGAGUCGGGUUGUUUGGGAAUGCAGCCUUAAGUGGGUGGUAAAUCUCAUCCAAGGCUAAAUACUGGUGAGAGACCGAUAGCGCACAAGUACCGCGAGGGAAAGAUGAAAAGGACUUUGAAAAGAGAGUUAAAAAGUGCUUGAAAUUGCUGGGAGGGAAGCGAAUGGAUGCCUUUGUUGCCUGCUGGUUGUGUGCGGAACGGCGUAAAAGCUGGUCUGUCAACCAAUUCAGCGGGCUCGCUAGUGUGGGGGUGGAUGCCGGGAUAAAGAUCCCGGGCUCGAAAGAUGCUUGGGAUUGAUGCUGGUGUCCACUCUGUGGCUUGGGUGUGCGCCUUUAUGGCGGGCCUUGUGCACCUGCACACCCGGGACGCUGGCGGUUUUAGGUUUUUCAUUCGACCCGUCUUGAAACACGGACCAAGGAGUCUAACAUGUAUGCGAGCCUGCGGGUGUUUACACCUCGCUAGGCGUAAGGAAACUGACGUGUGGGAUCCCCUUGUGGGUGCACCAUCGACCGACCAUGAGCUUCUGCGAAAGGUUCGAGUGUAAGCAUACCUGCUGGGACCCGAAAGAUGGUGAACUAUGCCUGAGCAGGGCGAAGCCAGAGGAAACUCUGGUGGAGGCUCGUAGCGAUACUGACGUGCAAAUCGUUCGUCAGACUUGGGUAUAGGGGCGAAAGACUAAUCGAACCAUCUAGUAGCUGGUUCCCUCCGAAGUAUCCCUCAGGAUAGCUGGAGCUCAUAUUGAGAGUUUUAUCAGGUAAAGCGAAUGAUUAGAGGCAUUGGGGGUGAAACACCCUCGACCUAUUCUCAAACUUUAAAUAGGUAAGGUGUCGGGGUUGCUCCGGUGAACCCCGACCUUUGAAUCUGAGCUCCAAGUGGGCCAUUUUUGGUAAGCAGAACUGGCGAUGCGGGAUGAACCGAA
Molecule: ribosomal RNA, 1132 nt
Filed under: Selaginella pallidissima
Lineage: Eukaryota; Viridiplantae; Streptophyta; Lycopodiopsida; Selaginellales; Selaginellaceae
Description: partial large subunit ribosomal RNA
Rfam family: Eukaryotic large subunit ribosomal RNA
Source: RNAcentral